This 269-nucleotide ribosomal RNA is filed under the name uncultured archaeon. Its description in RNAcentral is "partial 16S ribosomal RNA". It matches the Rfam family "Archaeal small subunit ribosomal RNA", at positions 478 to 747 of the family's 1478-position model. The record is from RNAcentral.
AGCUCUCCGAGUUGUAGGGAUGAUUAUUGGGCUUAAAGCGUCCGUAGCCGGCUUAGCAAGUCUCCUGUUAAAUUCAGCGACCUAAUCGUUGAGCCGCGGGAGAUACUACUAGGCUAGGAGGCGGGAGAGGUCGACGGUACUUUCGGAGUAGGGGUGAAAUCCUAUAAUCCCGGGAGGACCACCAGUGGCGAAGGCUGUCGACUAGAACGCGCUCGACGGUGAGGGACGAAAGCUGGGGAAGCGAACCGGAUUAGAGACCCGUGUAGUCC